Molecule: non-coding RNA, 76 nt
Organism: Myotis lucifugus (little brown bat)
Lineage: Eukaryota; Metazoa; Chordata; Mammalia; Chiroptera; Vespertilionidae
Source: Rfam
GGUGGUUCUCAGGUGAUGCACCCCAGAAUCAGGCUCCCUCCUCUCUGGUUCCGGGAUGUGUCACCCAAGAACCAUC